CCAUGCAUCCAAACUCGUAGGAAUGUCCAUCACUUAGCACAUCCUUCAACUCAGUUCUUGGCCGGAGGGUGGUAGAUCGGAGUCGGGGACCCAUACGUGGGCGUGGGUGAACUGUAUUUAGGCGUUGGGGGGUGGUAUUCUGGCUGAGGUUUGGGCUCCGGCUUUGGCUUAGGAGGCACUGGUUUCUUGUGGAAGUGGUCAAAGAAGUGGUGGUGCUCAUGAUCCUUGUGGAAGUGGUCAAGCCAGUGCUUCUUGUUGAACAAGUCUUUAGCAGGAGGAUGGUAGAUUGGAGUAGGAGACCCAUAUGUAGGUGUUGGGGGGUGGUACUCUGGCUGCGGCUUGGGCUCUGGCUUCGGUGGAACAGGCUUCUUGUGGAAGUGGUCGAAGAGUUGGUGGUGGUCGUGGUCCUUGUGGAAGUGACCAAGCAACUUGGCAAACAAGUGCCUAGCUGGAGGGUGGUAGAUUGGUGUAGGAGACCCGUAUGUGGGUGUUGGCGACCCAUAUGUUGGCGUUGGGGGAUGGUACUCUGGCUGAGGCUUGGGCUCUGGUUUGGGCUGCGGCUUAGGUUCCGGCUUCGGCUUUGGCGGUAUGGGCUUCUUGUGGAAGUGGUCGAAGAAGUGGUGGUGAUCGUGGUCCUUGUGGAAGUGACCAAGCAACUUGGCAAACAAGUGCCUAGCUGGAGGGUGGUAGAUCGGUGUCGGAGACCCGUAUGUUGGUGUUGGGGGAUGGUACUCUGGCUGAGGCUUAGGCUCUGGCUUCGGCUGCGGCUUAGGUUCCGGCUUCGGCUUCGGCGGCAUGGGCUUCUUGUGGAAAUGGUCAAAGAAGUGGUGGUGGUCGUGGUUCUUAUGGAAGUGAUCAAACAAGUGCUUCUUGUCGAACAACUGCCUUGCUGGAGGAUGGUAGAUCGGAGUUGGGGAUCCAUAUGUGGGCAUUGGUGAUCCAUACGUCGGUGUUGGGGGGUGGUACUCUGGCUGCGGCUUGGGUUCAGGUUUCGGUUGCGGCUUAGGUUCGGGCUUCGGCUUCGGCGGUACGGGCUUCUUCUUGUGGAAGUGGUCGAGGAAGUGCUUCUUGAUAGGGCCGCAGAUGGUGACCGACGCGCAUUCUGCCGAUGGGUUGUUUGUCUUGCCAGGGACCACGACGAAGUCGCUCUCGGACU
This 1156-nucleotide long non-coding RNA is filed under the name Setaria italica (foxtail millet). RNAcentral describes it as "long non-coding RNA (SITA_LNC006902)". The record is from RNAcentral. Lineage: Eukaryota; Viridiplantae; Streptophyta; Magnoliopsida; Poales; Poaceae.